CUGAGCUUAAAAAGAGGUUUCAGAGGUGGAGGAGCGACAGCAGCAGAACCACAGGAGCGGACAGCGUUUAGAGAAGAAACUCUGAGUCGUCAUACGGUGCAACGUUUACUCCAGUUUCAUCAUGAGGACCUUUGUGAAGGAGCUGGCUCUGGUGGCUCUGUUUCUCUGCCUCCACUCGGCUCCGCUCGUCAAUGCGCAGAAACCGACCGAAGCGCCAGUGAUCAUCCCAGAGGGAGCGAGCGGCAGGGGGGCGCGCUGGAGGUGCAGGGGCUGCUCAUGGUGAAGGGGCUGCGCUGGAAGAAAGACGACUCCGUGUUCAACGGCGCUGAGCGAGUUCUGCCUCUGAGCCUCGCGCUUCUGCCGCUGCUGGGCCUCACUCACACCCUCUACAUGAUGUGAUAGAUCCACUCAGUCAAAGACCCAACAUCCCACCUGAUCUUUGUUGUUUGCAAUCAAAUGAAUUGUUAGUUGUGCCCAAACCCAUUCCUAACAUCCCAACUCUUUAUGAUGAUGAUGAUUUCCUAAGCUCGUUUCACACAUUGGUAAGUUUAAAAACAAAAGCUUUUAUUCUAUUUCAGCCAUGUUUCAUGCUGUUCAAUAAAAC
RNAcentral lists this long non-coding RNA (604 nucleotides) under Neogobius melanostomus (round goby). Its description in RNAcentral is "lncRNA (ENSNMLG00000009286.1)". The record is from RNAcentral. Lineage: Eukaryota; Metazoa; Chordata; Actinopteri; Gobiiformes; Gobiidae.